CCCUGGUGGUCCUGUUGGUAAAGAAUCUGCUUGCAACGCAGGAGACCCAGGUUCAAUCCCUGGGUUGGGAA
RNAcentral lists this transfer RNA (71 nucleotides) under Ovis aries (sheep). It matches the Rfam family "tRNA". Rfam says of the family: Transfer RNA (tRNA) molecules are approximately 80 nucleotides in length. Lineage: Eukaryota; Metazoa; Chordata; Mammalia; Artiodactyla; Bovidae. The record is from Rfam by way of RNAcentral.